AAAAAUAUAUCCAAAGGAUCAAUAAAACAAUAAUCACUUGCCAAAAAAGGAGACAGUUUCAGGAAACACCAAAGAAACAUGGGAGAGUGAGUGAGUGUGGGCAUCCUUAGGCAAGGCAUUCCAAAGCCCAGGCACAACCUCAGAGAAAACCUUUUCCUUUGCCCAAACUAAAAUCAUCUCACAUAUCUGCGGGACACAAAGUACAGCCUGGCUAGUUUAAUAAGCAAGCAGAGGUGAUGGGUUUCCAGGUAUCCCAGUCUUAAGCCAUUUAGGGUUUUAGAUAAUAGUAAUUGCAGUAUUUAAAAAAAAAUGUUUGAUUUGCAAACUGCAUAACAAAAUAUGGAUAAGUAGGAAAUUUGAAGAAUUGGUGUGUUUUGGUUCUCGUAUUGUUUUAGAAAGUGUGAAUUUUAUAGAUUUAACUUUAAAGUGUGCACUGAAUCAAUUUUUUUCUCCAUCCCUAUCUGUAACUGUAGUCAAGUCUGCUUUCUCUAGAAACAAGUGCAGAUGGCAAACCAAUCUAGGUUGGGUAAAAGUCCUGCUGCUACCUGGAUAUACAGGAGCAAAACCAGAUCCAGGAGAACCCUCAAGCUGUGAACCUUAAGUUUUCAAGAGGAGUGCAGCCCCAUCUGACAAAGAUCGACAGAUCUGCUAACCAGGAGCAUCUCUGUCUGCUCUUGCCUUAUCUUGUUUGGAUUAAACAUCAGUUUGCCUGCCUCCAGUCUGUUACAGACCCUCAGGCACUGAUUCCGUACAGGUGUCCUCCCACUUAUGCGGGGCUUAUGUUUCGGGCCCCCUCACGCAUUUGUGAAAUCGCAUAAAGUAGGGAGCACCCUCUAAAAAGCCUCUGAAUGCCUAUCUUUCCCUACACUCCAGCUCUCUCUCUCCAAUCCAGACCAAAAUAUCUAGAGUUGAAGCUCUGGAGGAUGCGCAGGAAAGCAGCAGCUGCUGCUGUGCUACCCCGCACACCAGCUGUUAGGCAGGAAGGCUGAGCAGCCUAAACAAAGCCCCACUGUGGCCUCAGGUCUCUUUGGGGCUUCCUCUGCCCUCACUGACAUCCUCCUUGGGCUCCAGGGAGGAUUUCCUUGUGAGCCACAAUAACUCUCCAGCUCUCUCCUGCCAUUUCAUGGUAUGAUUCUAUUUAUUUCCUGGCGCUGUGCAUAUAUGUGCGAGAGUAGAAUGCAUGAAAGUGGUAGGGCUGGGCGAUGUUAGGUUUUCAACAUCACGGUGUAUCACCAGCCAAACAUAGCUGUUUAGCGAUAUACUGCAAUGUUGAAACAAGCUGCACAGGCCCCAGCCUGCGAGGCGGCGGGUGAAACUGCCACAGCUCUCACUGUGGGAGCUGAGGCACUUUCACCCCAGCACCUCACAGGCACCCCAGCUAGCCCCGGCCCGCUACUCUGCUGGGGGGCAGGAAGACUCCUGCCACCCCCACCUCCCUGCUGAGCAAGCCGCGGUGUCCCUGCUGCUUGUGUAUGAGCGUUAGGGACAUUGGGGCUCCCUUGCGAGACUCAGCGGGCGGGAAAGCUCCCAUCCCCCAACUGAGUGAGCCCGCCAACUCCCCAAGAUGGAGGGAUUCCUGCGACAGAGCCUGACAGUCUCCGUUUACAGGACUCCCUCCACCUUCUCCAACGCAACGGGGCGGGCGAGCAACCUCUUUCUUCUGGAGCUCACCCCUGCCCCCCAGGUAGAGCAAGCCCCCUGUCCCUCCAGCGUGUGGACAAGCUGGAGGGAUGGGGGGCCUUCUUUGUGCUCCUCAGCCGGGGGGAGAGAAGGCUUCCCCCCAGCUGAGGGAGCCCUGAUCCUUCUGCUCUUGCGCACAAACAGGAGAAGGAUCGGUGCUGCCCAGCUGGGGGAGCCCCGAUGCCUCUCUAGCUUGCAUCCAAAACAUGAGAAGAAAUGAUAGGGGGCAGGGGCACUUUAACCCCACCCUGUGCAAGCUGGUGGCAGGUUGGGGGCUCCAUAAAAUUGCUUGGCUGAGGCAAGGGCAGCUGCGCACUCCUCAGCUGAGCAGUUUAAAUAAGCGGAGGGAGGAACAAGCUGUAUCAGCACCUCACUGACGCAGCUUGUUUCUCCCUCUGCAGUGGUGUGAGGGCAGACCAUGAUGGCAGUUUUACUCAUAGGCAAAUUGCUGGUGAAACCGCCACCGCUCCUGAGUCCCUCUGCCUCCAGCUCCCAGCUGCAGCGUGUUUCACCCUCAGCACACUGAGCGCUGGUCGCAGAGGGACUCUGGAGGUGGCGGUUUCACCCGUGAUAUACUGCUGAGUGAAGCCGUCAUCGCAGUCUGCCCCUCAUAUUGAUAUAUUGCCCAGGCUUAAUGGGGGAUGCCUGUACUUCACUGGCCUUCCGGGAAAAGAGAAUUUGAAUUUGGUGCCAUCAGUGAUUUUACACUGAAGUAUUUAAUACAUUUGUUAAAUUUAUAAACGGCAUGUAUCCCACAGUAAGUCACCAUAAGAUAAAUGCUUAUCUUAAACAUAUAGUUUAAACAUAAUUCCUACAUAUAGAGAGCAUAAUAUUUGCUCUUGGAUGCAUUGUGGGAGUGAGGAUAUGACAAAUACUUUAUCUAUGUUUUAAUCAUGGGAUCUCUCAGUUUUAAAAUAGACCUGUUAAACAGUUGCAGAAUAGAGAAACAGUAUUUUAAGCUAUCAUGUUCUAAAUUAUUACUAAUACAGUGGAACCUCGGCUGUUGAACGUAAUCCGUUCUGGAAGACCGUUCGACUUCCGAAACGUUCAACAACCGAAGCGCAAUGGGCGGUUGGCCAUUUCAGUGGAGAAAAUGGAGAAAUGUACCUUGGAAGCCAUUCGACUUCCGAGGCACGUUCAAAAACAGAAGCAAUUACUUCUGGGUUUUUGGCGUUCGAAAACUGAAACGUUCGGCUUCUGAAACACUCGAAAACCGAGGUUCCACUGUACUUCAUGUUAUACCUGAAGCUCUUUGGCCCUGGAAGCCAGUGCUAAAGUGGUCACUCCUACCAUGUAUCAGGGCCUACCUGCUCUGUAGAUAAUAGAGCACUGUUCUCUAGGCCCCACCAGGCACUAGAAUAAUUUCUAUGUAAAACCUCUUCUUUUUAUUUAAACUGUGUUAGCAGCCACAAUCCUGCUUUUGUGCUGUUCUUUUCAGCUAAUUAGGGAGCCUCUGCCAGCUUGUUGUCCAUCGCGAGGAGUUCACUCCUUGUUGCUAGGGCACACUGACAUGCACCAGUGGUACUAGUUUCAAAGAGAUGUGGGGGACUGUAGAGAGAAAGGGCUGAUCAAACAAAAUGUGUUCUUUUUUCUUUUUUUUAAUCCAUCCUUUUUGGCAAGGCUGAAAAGUUUGCAAUGGAGGAAAAAAACCUGGGUGAAUGAUAAGGCCUUAAAAAGCUCAUUAAUUUGAGGCAAGCUAAGCUAUGCUGGCGAGUUAUCUUAUCCUUCCUCAAAAUAGACUUUUAUCAAAAUGGGAGAGCAAGGACCUAAAAGGGUUUGUGCCUUAAAAAAACUAAUUAGUUCCUAAGGAUUUUGUUGUUGCUAGUAAUAUUAUUGUGUGGGCGGGUGUUUAAAGAUAGAGCUGUAGCCUGUUGAAAGUGCUGUCCCUGCACAGCGACCAGCAGUGUCCUAACUUACUUUUUGUCUUAUAGCCUGGUCUAGAUUCUAGCCACUUCAUGAGCCAAUGUCAUCACAUUCUGUUAGCAUGUUUCAUUAUUGCUAAUUUCACAUGCUCAUAAAGCACAUGCUAAACCCCCUCAAUAUUUGGACAUCUAACUGCUGUAGUGCUUUUGACUUUCCCCCACCCCCAUAACAAGAAGAAAAGGCCCUGUGAUUUAAAUCUUGUUUAAAUCACCACCUUUAUAGGGAUUCUGCUGUAACCCAAUUCUGACACAUGGGUCUCUUGUCCUCAUGCCAAAACUCCAAGUCCUCAGAGAAAGGGUGGAUACCAGUAUAAAUGACUGAGGACUGCUUCUCAGUCCAUUUGGGACUCAUUUUUCAUGAGUGGUGAAUUAUUUAUUGUCACAGUGAAUUGAAAAAUGGAGGGAGUGUUAAAUUGACCCCUGGGGAUUCCACCGUUAACACAAACCACAGCUUUCUCACACACCAUAGCUACAAAUAAUUGUUGCUGAUGCAUUUUCAGUCCUGUGCUAAACUGGAAAUUGGGCCCAAGUCCAAUGUCGAGAGCUUGGAGGAUUACUUCAUUAUCUUUUAUGAGGAAAGGGAAGAAAAUAUGGCAAAAGGCAAAAAACUGAUAUGGUGUGUGGUGAAAGAGCUGCGAUUGGUUAGCAGCUGCAGGAAGGCUUGACUUAAAAUGGGGCCAUGGCUCUAGGGGAAGGUGGGCAAUCUAUGCCUACGUCAUCCAUGGCACCAUGCCCAAGACAGAGCCAGGUAGCUCAGUGGUUGUGUGGUACAGAAACAAAAACAUGAGGUGGUGAUAGUAGGCCGCGGAGUUAGCCAAAACUGUAAGUGGUCACCCCAGGACAGUAGCAUUUGGGCAGGAACUGGGCAGGCUUCAGCAACUGGGUGAGGAGCUACAGAUAGGGGUAGGGAAGUGGAGGGGGGGAACAAGACACAGUGAAGAGAACCCAUUGAUAUUUAUGCUGUAGAGCUGUGCCCCCACCAUGUCAACAGGGGAAGUAAUGCUUCGUUUUCCCAUGUGCUGUUUCUAUUUCUUAAAUUAGACUCCUGGGCUGCUAUUAGCUAGGGGAGAAGAAGACAGAUAGAAUACAAAUACCUGACUUUCUUCCUCUUAGUAGGUUUUGGGGGUGAUUUAAAUUGGGGAAACAGUAGGGUUGCCAUAUUGCAUAUUUGGGGCAAAUUUGUUGAGCUCUUUUGGCAAAAUCUCGAAAAUGUUUUGGAGGCAUUUUUUGGCAAAGUUGCAAAAAAACCCUACAUUUCCUUUUUUUAAAAAAUAUUUUUUAUUAGUUUUCAUCAAGAAAAAUACAUAUUGCACUACAUUACAACUUUAACAAAUUUUCUCAUUUUUGGACUUCCUUCAGCCUCUCUGACAGUCAUCCAAAUUAAACUUUUUAAUUACACAUUUCCUAAAUUUGCUAUUGCCUUUUAACUUACCCUUCCACAUCUGUUUUUCUUUUUUGCAAUAUUUCUUAGGUUUUUACAGAGCUUCUUUAAAUGCCACUAACGUUAUUUCAUUAUCACUUAUACAUUCCCAAUACUCUACUAACUUUCCCCAGUCCUCGAUAAACUUUUGAUCUCGUAGAUAUCUAAUCUUCCCUGUCAGUUUAUCAAGUUCUGCAUAGUCCAUCAGCUUCAUUCUCCACUCCUCCAAUGUUGGUACUUGUUCUUGUUUCCAUUUCUGGGCCAGUAAUAUUCUAGCCGCUGUUACUGCAUAUUGGAAAAGUUUACAAUCCUUUCUAUUUAUUUCAUUUCCUGUAAUUCCUAAGAGAAAGGCCUCUGGUUUCUUAACGAAUGUAUAUUUCAACAUUUUGUUCAAUUCAUUGUAUAUCAAUUCCCAGAAGCUCUUCACUUUCUUACAUUCCCACCACAUAUGAUAGAAAGUACCAUCCUUUUCAUUACAUUUCCAACAUUUCUUGCAUGUUUUAUACAUUUUUGCAAGUUUUACUGGUGUAAUAUACCAUCUGUAAAUCAUUUUCAUAACAUUUUCCUUUAAUGCAGUACAUGCAGUAAAUUUAAUAUUUUUGUUCCAUAGUUUAAUCAAAUCAUUAAAUUGUAUAUUAUAACCAAAAUCUCUGGCCCAUUGUAUCAUUACAGAUUUAACUUCUUCAUCCUUUGUAUGCCAUUCCAGCAAUAUCUUAUACAUUUUAGAUAGAAUUUUAUAUUCAUUAUUUAUUAUUUCUAUUUGAAAUUUUGAAUCUUUCUCUACGAAUCCAUAUUCCUUAAGAUCUUUUUUAAACAUUUCAUUUAUUUGAAAAUAAUGCAACCAAUCAUAUACAAACUCUUUUACUUCUUCAUAUGGUUUCAUUUUCCAUUUCCCCCCUUCCUUAACAAUCAGAUUCCCAUAUGUAAUCCAAUUCCUUCUCAUAUUGAUUUUUUUAACACUCAUAACCUCUAAUGUAGACAACCAGUGCGGAGUUUUUGGUUCAAGUAGGCUUUUAUACCUAUCCCAUAUUUCUAUCAACGAUCUUCGGAAAAUGUGGUUCUCAAAGCCUUUAUGGAUUUUCUUCUUUUCAGACCAUAAAUAUGCGUGCCACCCAAAUCUAUUAUCAAAUCCUUCUAUAUCUAACAACUCUGUAUUUUCUAAUUUUACCCAUUCCUUUAACCAACAGAGACAUGAAGCUUCAUAAUAUAAUUUCAGGUCUGGCAAAGUCGCAAAAAACCCCUACAUUUCCAACAUGGGUUUCCAUACGCCCAGGUUUCCCCGGACAACUUGGAUGAUUUUUAGAAAUUCCGCCCAGAUGCUAUUUCGGGUGGAUGAAUCCCAGCUAUGUCCAGGAAAUUCCAAACGUAUGUCAGCCCAAGGAAACAGCAUGGUAGGGAAAGCUUUCUCCUAGUACUGCAGCUCUGAUCCAACUCCCUUUUCCUGGCAGCUGCUUUUAAGUGAACACCAAGACGUCAGGAGAUCAAAUCCUGCACCUCACAUCUUUGGUCCCAACAAAAUAAAUGUACUAAAAAGAGUGGGGAGGGGAGGGAGAGUAAGUGAGAAGCUUCUAAAACAUGGUCUGUUGUCUGCAGCUCCUGAAGGAAGCCCACACAAAGAGAGGAUGCUUUUUAGGGGUUCUGUCUGCUUUUGACAGUUUUUAAUGGCACCAUCUCCCUCUGAGCAAACAGGAGUUUGGGCCUGGGGCCUGCCAUGGACCCCUGAUAGGGAUCUAUUCAGUAUUUAUCUCUUGACACUCAGCACCCAUUCACCUGUAGCUGUACACAAGUCAUCAGCAGCAGCCACUACCCUUCUCUUCCUAGUCACGGGGUCCUAGUUCUCAGCUCCUCCAAGAAUUUCAUUCCAUGUUCAAACAAAGCAAGAAGCAAGUUGUGCAGGUGAACUGUAGAGGUGUCUGCCUUCUCAUGGAAUGCAGAGUGUUAUUUACAUUCAACAGAUGUUUUAAGUUCAGAUCUUUAAAUAGACAGCCCCUCCUUUUCGUUAAUCCCUUCUCCCUUCUCUGCUCCUAUAGUUUACCCCAAGCCAUAGGAACAAACAGUGUCCCUUGUUGCAUGAGGAGGACAGGAUUUUCCACAUGGCAGCUCAGCCUGAGAACAGUGCCUGAAUGUUUGAUCUCAUUCAGGUAUCAGACAUCCCUCCGCAGGCUGCUGUAAAGCAAUCCGUUCCAGCUGAAGGCUUUUCUCUGAAGGAGGAUCAGUUGUUAGAAGAGACAAGCUGAAGCAGGGAGCUGGAAAUUCCAGGAGAGAAAAGACGCCACAUGCUAAGGAUUCUUUACUUCCUUCAUGUGUACACACACACACACACACACAGAGAGAGAGAGAGAGAGAGAGAGAGAGAGAGAGAGAGUUAUGAAACCCACCAGCUUGCCUACCACACAGUUUAUCCAUAUGAUCAGUCACGGACCAAUUUUCAAAAUUAAGUUCUUAAUUUUAUGUUACAGCUCAUGGCCAAAUUACAAGUGGCACUGAGUCACAUGUAGUUGCCCCUGCUAGCUUGGAGUUUUCUUUAGGAAAAGCAACCAUGGGGGCUGGACAGAAGAACAGAAGAAGGAAUUGUGUGUGUGGACGGGGUCAUGUUUAAGUUUUCCUUUCUUGUUAUUUUCCAGAAUGAAUGUCAAACCUCCCCCCAUCUGCUUUCUCCCUCACAGGAGAAAAGAUACGGAUUCCUGCCCUUCUCCAUCUCUCAUUCCCUUGUAAAGUCUAAUUCAAACAAUCACCGCACUGUGUCUCUUGCCAUCCAACAAUGGGAGGUGGAAGAGGGAAAAUGCACAACACAGCUGAUUUCAGUGUAAUUCACACUAGAAAAGAGAUAGAAAGCAAUCAGCGUCAGCUCUGUCUUUCUUAAAAUAUUUAAUCUGGCCUUUAGUAUACAUGCAUUCUGCCUUUUUACGCAAAACAGGUUUGUUUUAGGGUGGUAGGG
Non-coding RNA from Podarcis lilfordi (Lilford's wall lizard), 7960 nucleotides. The record is from the annotation of a GenBank genome assembly. NCBI's taxonomy places the organism in Eukaryota, Metazoa, Chordata, Lepidosauria, Squamata, Lacertidae.